This 472-nucleotide long non-coding RNA is filed under the name Rattus norvegicus (Norway rat). RNAcentral's name for it is "long non-coding RNA NONRATT006423". The record is from RNAcentral. Lineage: Eukaryota; Metazoa; Chordata; Mammalia; Rodentia; Muridae.
UGGAGCCUUCCUUUUCCUGCUGCAUACCCAGUCACGAUUUCUCUGCAGUUGACUGCACUUUCACUCUCAAGCCUGACUCUUCUGAGGUCCAAAAGCAGCAGCAUCUUUCCUGAGAAUCGUAUGAUAGAGCUGAAACUACCUCAAAUGUGUAGAUGCCAUGUCUCAGCCUCCCAGAUGCUGAAGUUACAGGUGUAUACGUCUUACCCAGGUCCUUUUCCAUUAAGAAGCAAUUCAAAGAUUUCCUUCAGAACCCCUCCCAUACGUCUCAUGGGGGGAAAGUUAUCCAACAAAUUCCAAGGACCCACUUCCCGCCAUGAAUCCAUGUCCAUAUUAGUGGGCAUCUCUAGAGUGGGAUUCCAUGCUGCCCCGUUAUUUUUAUGACUGCCUAUCCACUCUGUGAGAACCUUUACAAGAGGGAAAGACCAGAUGUUCAACAAAUAGUCUUUGAAUUAAAACAUGCACUGAGCAACUG